CCUACGGGAGGCAGCAGUGAGGAAUAUUGGUCAAUGGGCGUAAGCCUGAACCAGCCAAGUCGCGUGAGGGAUGAAGGUUCUAUGGAUCGUAAACCUCUUUUAUAAGGGAAUAAAGUGCGGGACGUGUCCCGUUUUGUAUGUACCUUAUCAAUAAGGAUAGGCUAACGCCGUGCCAGCAGCCGCGGUAAUACGGAGGGGCCGAGCGUUAUCCGGAAUUAUUGGGUUUAAAGGGUGCGUAGGCGGCCUUUUAAGUCAGCGGUGAAAGCCUGUGGCUCAACCAGAGAAAUGCCGUUGAAACUGGGAGGCUUGAGUAUGUUUGAGGCAGGCGGAAUGCGUGGUGUAGCGGUGAAAUGCGUAGAUAUCACGCAGAACCCCGAUGGCGAAGGCGGCCUGCCAGGCCAUGACUGACGCUGAUGCACGAAAGCGUGGGGAUCAAACAGGAUUAGAUACCCGAGUAGUC
This 460-nucleotide ribosomal RNA is filed under the name uncultured bacterium. Its description in RNAcentral is "partial 16S ribosomal RNA". It matches the Rfam family "Bacterial small subunit ribosomal RNA", at positions 338 to 795 of the family's 1533-position model. The record is from RNAcentral.